AGAGACUUAGGUUAACACCAGACCAAAAGCCUUCAAAGCUUUAAGCAGGAGUGAAAACCUCCUAGUCCCUG
This 71-nucleotide transfer RNA is filed under the name Megalops atlanticus (tarpon). RNAcentral describes it as "tRNA-Trp". It matches the Rfam family "tRNA". From Rfam's summary of the family: Transfer RNA (tRNA) molecules are approximately 80 nucleotides in length. Their secondary structure includes four short double-helical elements and three loops (D, anti-codon, and T loops). Further hydrogen bonds mediate the characteristic L-shaped molecular structure. tRNAs have two regions of fundamental functional importance: the anti-codon, which is responsible for specific mRNA codon recognition, and the 3' end, to which the tRNAs corresponding amino acid is attached (by aminoacyl-tRNA synthetases). tRNAs cope with the degeneracy of the genetic code in two manners: having more than one tRNA (with a specific anti-codon) for a particular amino acid; and 'wobble' base-pairing, i.e. permitting non-standard base-pairing at the 3rd anti-codon position. Lineage: Eukaryota; Metazoa; Chordata; Actinopteri; Elopiformes; Megalopidae. The record is from RNAcentral.